UUGAUCAAAAUAAAUAUGCAAAUUGUCAGUGUCAAUAUCAUAUUUUGAUAAAGACUUGAAGAAAAGUCGAAAUGUCAAUUUACUUCUAUAAUUUAAAAAUUAUUAAACAAAAACUAAUUUUGAAACAGAAGAGACCUAAAAUCAAUUUUUUUUAAAUCUCUAAAAGAUAGAUAAUACAUGACGUUUCGACACGUAGAAAAAGUGUCGCAUCUCUGCAUUGUUUUUCCGGUUACAAUACAAAAUCUGGAUGUGCCGGAAAAGGGAAGAAAAAUAUCUUAAAUUCAUUAUUAGACGCUAAACAUUUGUCAAAUUUAGCUAAUUUUUUUUAUAAGAAAUAUGCAAGUAAAGAAGAUACAAAACUAUGUAUUACAGUUCAUCAAAUCUAUUUAUAGAUGUAAAAAUGAAAAAAUAACACUGAAUUAAGAUUUCACAAAUAUCAAUGUUGGCAAACCUCACACACACACGGCAUAUUAUCAGCAUCUGAUAACAACAGAUUGGGGCUGGAAACAACAUCAACGUCGCAUUAUCCCCGAAUUUACAGAAUAGGAAUUAAUUCUGAAAGUAUUGCUUAAAACUAUUUGCUGCAGCUGUGAAACUGGUUGCAACAGUUUAAAACGUGGCUGCCAAAAACAUUGUUCAAAAUGCUCAAAUUUAUGACCAAACUGGCAUGGUACUGAAAAUUGCUCCAAUAUGGAAAAAUAAACCUACGAGGAAGUUAAUGGUUCAGAUAAAAUUGUGGAUAAAAAACCAAUGGAAAAUGAAAAUAAUAUUGUAGACGAAGAAGGUGAUGGUCUUGAAGAUUUCGAAAAUCAACUAGAAUUGGAAAGGAUUGUCGAAUCUUACGAUGAGGAAAUACCAUCAAGGAGACAAAAACUAAUGGAUGAUUAAUUAGACUUCAAAAUAAGGUAUUUAUAAAUAACAAGAAUCGCGUUAUAAAAAAUAUUAUAACUAAUAACGUAAUCAGAAUGAGGAAUCUAAAUUCAAUAGUACGAUUUACAUGUACAUUAUUAGAAUUAAACAAAUAAACUUUUUAACUUUAAAAUUUACAACAAUCAAUGUUUUUUGAUGAAAUUGUACAUAUUGAUUAAAAAAAUUCACAAAUUUGCGUUUUUUUAGAUUUUUUGUAUUUUCUGAGAAUAUUUACACUAAUAAUGUGUAUAUUGUUUUAAACAAUCAGAAAUGAGAAAUUUGCACGAGGCACAUCAACUUUUUAAAAAUAUUUUGACCCGAGAAUUUUCGAUUGAAAAUUAGGGUGCUUUUUUGAUAUUAAAUAAGUGAGAUGAAAAAAUAAAUAUUUUAAAUCAAAUAAAGUACAGUGUAGUUGGGACAUAAAAAGGUAAGUUCUCACAAAAUUUUGUAGAACACAAUUUAUUUUAAAGGAUAAAAAUAAAAAACCAACAACUUGGUUAUUCGAAUUUUUCACAUAAAUUUUGAGGUUAUGUGAAAAAUUGUGAAUACAAGAUGUAGAUCGUUUUAUUACCUACAACUUUGCCAGUUAACUUUAUUGCAUAGGACUUGUAGUUUUGCUGGAAUUCAAGAUAAACUAUUUUUUACCCUUAAAACACACCUCCUCCCACUUCUCGAACUCAGGUCGCCCGUAAUUCAUUUUUAUGAAAUUUCCCUCCGUUUUCAAUAGGUUUCAUACUUCUUUUAUUUUUUUUUUGGUUUCAAAAAUUAUCGACUCUGGUCUAUUUCAUUAAUGUCCUAAUAUGACAUUAUGUUCCUGUUAGGACAUAUUAUCGAUAAGACAUUGUAGUAAAGAAUUUGCACUCUAUUUCAUAAAAUUAUCUAGUUUCACAAAUACGAGAUAUGUGUAACGUUUAAACUAAAAUUCGAAAUCUAGCGCAUUAGAAACGAUUCGAUUGCUAAAAACCUGAGUGAAUUAACUUAUAAUAUUAGUACGGAUUACUCACUUAGAAAAGCAACAAAACGAUUAUAAGUGUAUACUAAAUAACCCAUCAAUUAGGAAGGAAGAUGGAAGUUGGACACGAGAUAAUAUGAAAAAAGGAAAUAGAUUCUCGGAACAUUUACUUUACGAUCGAACGAAACCAAAAUAUGCCAAUAACAAUAAAAAAUGCCCAAAUUCUUUAUAAUAACAAUGGAAACUAUUUGGGAAUGACCUUAGACUUUGCUGGAGAGUCCACAUUAAAAAGGAUAUGAAAAGAAAGAAGAAACUCCAUAUACAACAAAUUGCUUCUCUACAAACAGAGGGAGAGAGAGAGAGAGAGAGAGAAAUGCUCUUGUCAAAUAAUUGUCAAAAUUUUAGACAAACGCGUGUAAAAAUUAAAAAACAAAUAUAAAAAUAACUAAAUAGAUAAAGAGAUAAAACAAUAGAUAAAACAAAUAAAAAUGAAAUUUCAAUUUACAGAAGAAAACCACAAUGAGUAACACAAUUAUAAGUAAUAGUAAUAAGUAAUAAAUCAUAGUGCCUCCAUGAGAUAAAUUAAAUAUUGAAAUAUGUCAAAAUAUUUUAUUCCUCAACAAAUUCUCCUCUCAAUUGGAUACAAUAAUUACAGCGAACCUGCAACGUCUCUAAACCUUUUAAAAAUAAUGUUUGUUCUUGCUCUGCAAACCAGACCUCAACAGCUUUUAUUACCUCCUCGUUGGAAGAAAAUUUACGACCUUAUAAACUUUUUUUCAGUUGAGGAAAGAGAUGAUAGUCGGACAGAGCCAAAUCUGGUAAAUAAAGGGUAGUAAUUCAAACCCUAAAUUACGAAUUUUUUCAGUUGACGAGGUUUUUGCAUGGCAACAUGAGAUUUGUGUGCGUUGUCCCGCAAAAACAAAACACCUUUGGAUAGCUUUCCGCGUUUUUUCUCUUUAAUUUUUUCCCGUAGAGUGGUCAGUAAUGUCAAAUAGUCCAGUCAUUGUUCUACUCUUAUCUAAAAAAUCAUGAUUACUCCAUGACAAUCCCAAAAAACUGAGGCAAGAACUUUUUCAGCAAUUUUUUGGACACGAAACUUCUUAGGUCUUGGUGAACCAGACUGUCGCCAUUCCAUCGAUUGUGGCUUUGUUUUUGGAUCGUAUAAAUGUACCCAUUCUCAUCCCAAUUCGGUUUAAGAAGUCUACAUCGUUUUCAAAUCGUGCACAGAUCGAUCGCAAUGCUUCUAUCCUUGCACGCUUUUGGUCAACAUUCAAACAUUUGGGGAUCCAUUUUGCAGCAAUUUUUCUCAUGUUCAUAUUGACGUGAACGCGUUCGUAUGAAAUAUUCAGUGCUUCAGAUAUCCAUUUUAUCCCAAUUCGACGGUCUGAUAAUCAUGUCAUGAACUGCAUCGAUAUUUUCGGGGACUGACACAGAAACUGGCCUUCAUGAUCGGUCAUCAUCUUCAAUGGAAAAUUUACCUCUUUUGAAGCUUGCAAUCCAAUUUUUCACGGUCGCAUAUGAAGAACAUUGAUCCCUAAAAGUAUUAAGCAUAUCUUCGUAAAUCUGCUUACCUCUUAACCCUUUUAAAUACAGGUACUCGAUGGUGGCUUGAUACUCCAAUUUUCCGAUUUUCACAAUUUCGGUGGACAUCUUUUUUCUUUUAAUUUAUUGCGUAACUGUGGUGUACUUUUUUGACGUCAAACUUUCCACUGACAUUUAAAUAUAAUAAGUUAUUGUUCGUUGCUAUGGUAACGUAAUAUUUUGUUUAUGCAUGGAACUGGUCUAGGCUAACUAGAUAUCAAUACAUUCUCUUAGUUCUAUCGAAUGUGGCUACUGUGGUAUAGUUUUUGACAAGACCAAGCUCAUUAUAAUUAUUAAUUAUAGAUAUUAGUAUAUAUUAGAUAGUGCCCCUAUAUGUUCAGGCUAUUUUGUCUGUGUUCAGUUGUUGUGCAAUUUUGACAAUUGAUUUAAAAAAAAACAUAUAUAGAGUUGUCAGAAAACAGUCAGUGUUUUAUUUUUUUUUUAAGUUUAUUUAUAGUUUCUCCACUGCAAGGACUCACAUAACCAAUAGAACUAAGAAGAAUUAGUAAGGACAAGGUCAAAAGAGAAAAGUCUUGAAGGAAUUUAGAAAAAUGACGCCGAUGCCGAUACUAGAACUGGCUGUUUGGGAUCAAAAUAUUAUGCCGAAAAGAUAAGUGCUUAGAGGCAAUAGAUGGUAAUCCACCAGACUCAACAAUAAGUAGAAAAGAGAAGGAUGAAUGGGAGUGUAGAGAUGCAAAAGCUCAAUCUAUUAUUAUUCCGGGUAUAUCAGAUAAACAUUUAGAUAUUAUUAAAGAAUGCAUAAUGGCCAGGAACAAAUUGAGACACUUAAAAAUGGGUUUGUAAGGACAAGUUCUUUGACUAAGAUGGCAUGAUGGAGAAAAUUAUUAACUAUGAAAAAUGAGGAAUUUUAAAAAAUAGAAGACCUAUUUUUAAAAUUUAAUACAACUAUAAGAGAUCUCAAAGAUAUGGGAUCUAUAUUAGAUGAAGAAGAUAAAGUAUGUCUUUUAUUGUUUGCUUUACUGCCAAAAUACAAUAGUGUAGCCACUGUUUUGGAAACAAUAGAAAAUGUUAAGUUAGAUUUCGUUAAAGCUAGACUGUUAGAUGAAGAACUUAAAAAUAAUUCACAGUCGGACAUUAUAGAAUCUAGUUUUAAAGCUUCAAAUGGGUGCUAUAAAUGUGGAAGACAAGAACACUGGUUUUCACAAUCUCCUAAGCGAGACAGAGGUAGAUGUGGUUACAGAAGAAGUGGAAGAGGAAGAAUAAGAAAUAGAGGAAGAGAAAGAUCAUAUACUCAAAAUUCAGGGCAAGCUAACGUUAUAAGAGAAGAAGAGAAAGAAGUGCAACUGUAUGCAAUAAAUUUAUGGAAAAAUGACAAUGAUUUUGGAUUCUGGAGCAAGUAAUCACUUCUUGAAAGAGGAACUAGAAAAGUAUAUGGUAAAUAUAAGAAAGCUAGACACAUUCAUAUUGCAAACGGUGACAUUUCACAAGCAAAUAAAAUAGGAACUCUGAAAACAGAAACUCAAGGACAAAAGUUUUGUUUGGAAGGAUUGAUCGUUCAAAAUAUGAAACAUAAUUUGUUAUCACUUUCGAAAAUUACCUCAAUGGGUCAUACAAUUAUUGUAGAAAGAGAAAAGAUGAUUAUACAAGGUAAACAUUUGCAUUUAAAUUGUAAAAACAAGAAUGGUCUAUAUGUCUUGAUACUUGACAAAAUAAGACAUGAAGAUGAGAAAUGUAAUGUUAUAUUAGAUGAAGAUAUAUGGCACAGAAGACAGAAAAUAAAAUUUGCUCUACAUGUAUGGAAGGUAGAGGUACAAGAUGCCCAAUUACUAAUAGAGAAAGAAAAUCAACCAAAAUUGGCGAAUUGAUCCACAGCGACGUUUGUGGUCCAAUGAAACCUACCGCUUUUGAUGGAUUGCGACAUUUUCAAACCAUUAUCGAUGAUUAUUCGCAUUUUGUUGUAGUUAAAACUCUCAAAACAAAAAAUGAAGCUGAUAAAUAUUUAGUAGAUUACAUAGUAGAAUUGGAAAGGCAAAAAGAAGUAAAUGUUAAAGCGAUUAAAUUAGAUAACGGGGGUGAAUUUAUAACAAAUAUAUUUAAAGAAUCCUGCAAGAAGAAAGAGGUUAUUUUGAAGUAUACAAUGCCACAUACACCGCAGCAAAAUGGAACUGCCGAAAGAAUGAAUAGAACUCUAUUAGAGAAAAUUAGAACAAAAAUAAUAGAUUCCGGUAUGCCCAAAGAAUUGUGGUGCGAGGCUCAAGACUUCAAGUUAUGAAUUAAAUCGCCUGCCAUCUAAAGUAUUACCCAGAGGAAGGACACCAUCGAAAAUAUGGAAUAAAAGAAAUGAUUUGACAAAACUUAGAGUUUUUAGAAGUUGUUCAUGGUACAUACCAUUACCAAAAGGAUAUAAACUAGACGUUCGAUAAUGGAAUUUAAAGCGAUUAAUCAGAAUAAAGAAACAAAUAAGCAACAGGUGAUAUGUGAACCAAGAGAGAUUAUAGAGGAAACUUCAGAAGAAAAUUUACAAAGAGAUAAUGAUAUAGGCGAAAAUGAUGCUACAUCAAAUAAUGAUGCUACAUCAGAUAGUUCAGACAAUGAAGAUAAUACUCAAGAAAAUGUUGCAUUGCUAGAAUUGUCAUUAACCAGAUAAGGUAGAAAUGUAAAAAGGCCAGGAGAUUUAGAAGAUUAUGACAUAUAUAUCGCUUAUUGUUUCCUUAGUUCAUCAAGAAGCUAUUAAAGAACUAGAAUGGUGAGAAUCUAUUGAGAAAGAAUUUCAGUCCCACAAGAAAUUGGAAACAUGGAUAGAAGUAAAUGAACUAACUACCUGAGAAUGUCAAAGCUAUCGAUACAAAAUGGAUUAAUUAAAAUAAAAGAGGAUGGUACUAAGAAGUCUAGAUUAGCAGCACGGGGGUUUCAAGAACCUCAACAAGGUAUGGAAUUUGAUUAUGCUCCAGUGUGCAGAGUUUAAACAAUACGCUUGAUGCUCUCAGUGGCCGUUGAAAGAGAUUAUACUAUUAAACAAGUGGAUGUACCUACAGCAUUUUUAAAUGGAUUUUUAGAUAAAGUUAUAUAUAUUGAGAAAUCUCGAGGUCUAAAAAGUACGAGUCAAUAUUUUAAAUUAAAUAGAGCAUUGUACGGACUUCGAAGCUCACAAAAUGUUGGAACAUAAAGUUUAAUGAAAUUAUGACAAAGUUGCAGUUUAAAAUAUCUGAAUAUGUUUAUUGUUUGUAUUUUAAAGAUCAAUUAUACUUAGUGCUAUAUGUAGAUGAUGCUUUAAUUAUAGGAAAAGAAGAAUUCGUAGACACCUUAAUUGGAGAUCUUUAUAGCGAAUUUAAAGUGAAACAAAUGAGUUCCAUCAUUCUUAGGAAUGCAAUUGAAUUUAUAAAAAAAGGAUUAAAAGUACAAAAGACCAACAUGAUAAAACGACUUUUAAAAGAAUUUGAAAUGAAAGAGACAAGAUCGAUUUCGACACCAAUGGAAGUAAAUUUUAACGUACCUGAAGAUGAAAUAAUUAUAGAAAAUAAGUCAUAUAGAAGAUUAAUUUGCAGUCUUAUGUAGAUUUCAAUAACUACCAGACCAGAUAUAUCUCAAAGUGUAUCACUACUUAGUCGUUAUUUAGAUAAAUCUACCAACAGCACUUGGAAUGCAGUCAAGAGAAUUUUGCGUUAACUCAACUUUUCAUUAGAAUAUUGUUUAUUAUUUGGAAAAGAAUCCCAUAAAUUGCUUUCAAGGAAACAAAAUUGUGUGGCCAUUAGUUGAAUGGAAGCAGAAUAUAUUAGCGGCUCGGAGUUGUUAUUUUAGGAAUUUUUGGCAAUAGAAAUGUUUAGAUUGUUAAUACAUUUAAAUUGAGGGGGUGUAUUAAAUAUAGAUAUUAGUAUGUAUUAGAUAGUGCCCCUAUAUGUUCAAGCUAUUUUGUCUAUGUUCAGUUGUGCAUUUUUGACAAUUAAUUUAAAAAAAUAGAGUUGACGUCUUUGAGUUGUCAGAAAACAGCCAAAGUUUUAUUUUUUUAUUUAAGUUUAUUUGUAGUUUUUCCACUGCAAGGACUAACAUAACCAGUGUUCAUAGUAAUUGAAACCCAUCUGGACAUAUAACUCUGGGGCUACAGAAAAAGUUACAUUGAAGUAAUACAACGAUUUCAAAAUAGAGUAUCGAGAAACAACGGAUUUUACAUGCCAACGUUAUCCAGUUAUAUAAUUCCAAUUUAGUGAGAAGGCUCAAUAGAAUCAAGUAGUUUGAUGAUGGACUUAUUCAGAACGUGUAGUCACAGGUACUUGAAGAAUCCAUCUUGACCGAAAUAUGGAAUUUAAUCGCUAAUAUCGGCUGUUGUGCUAGAAAAUUUCGCUGUGCGUAAACUGAUAUUGCAAGAUCGUCAUGUGACCUACCGUGAGAUUGAUGCAUAAUUCGGUAUUAGUUCCACUUGCAUAUAUUCAAUAUUGCAUGAGCAUUUAGCUGUCAAAAAGAUUUGCUGGCGUUGGAUACCGCAUAAUUUGGCAAUCGCUUCAAAAAACAGCUCGUAGCGAUUGGUGUGAAGAAAUGCUGAAAAAAUUGAUGGUUCAUCCGCCUCACAGUCCUUAUUUGACACCCAAUGAUUUCUUCUUAUUCGCGCAGAGUAAAUAUAAAUUUUGAAGUCAACGUGUUUCUACACCUGAAGAUGCGGUUGAUGCGUACAAAUCACACGUUUUGGAGGUACCUCAAUCGGAAUGAACAAUUGGUUCAACGGCAUGCAAAAGCAUAUUGAUCUUAAUGGAGAAUAUUUUAUAAAACAAUAAAGCUAUAUCCAAUUGAAAA
This is a long non-coding RNA of Diorhabda sublineata, 8188 nucleotides long. RefSeq lists it as uncharacterized. The transcript is spliced from 2 exons. Lineage: Eukaryota; Metazoa; Arthropoda; Insecta; Coleoptera; Chrysomelidae. The record is from RefSeq and is a predicted model, not a curated record.